GACGAACGCUGGCGGCGUGCUUAACACAUGCAAGUCGAACGGAAAGGCCCUGCUUUUGUGGGGUGCUCGAGUGGCGAACGGGUGAGUAACACGUGAGUAACCUGCCCUUGACUUUGGGAUAACUUCAGGAAACUGGGGCUAAUACCUGAUAGGAGCUCCUGCUGCAUGGUGGGGGUUGGAAAGUUUCGGCGGUUGGGGAUGGACUGGCGGCUUAUCAGCUUGUUGGUGGGGUAGUGGCUUACCAAGGCUUUGACGGGUAGCCGGCCUGAGAGGGUGACCGGCCACAUUGGGACUGAGAUACGGCCCAGACUCCUACGGGAGGCAGCAGGGGGGAAUAUUGCACAAUGGGCGGAAGCCUGGUGCAGAAACGCCGCGUGCGGGAUGACGGCCUUCGGGUUGUAAACCGCUUUCGCCUGUGACGAAGCGUGAGUGACGGUAAUGGGUAAAGAAGCACCGGCUAACUACGUG
RNAcentral lists this ribosomal RNA (468 nucleotides) under uncultured bacterium. RNAcentral's name for it is "partial 16S ribosomal RNA". It matches the Rfam family "Bacterial small subunit ribosomal RNA", at positions 28 to 507 of the family's 1533-position model. The record is from RNAcentral.